AAAUAAGAUGUUCAUACCACACCCACACACACACAAAAGUAGCAGCAGCUGAUGUGGCAGCACCACCCAGGGGAGCCCAGCCUGACAGCCGGCCUCAGCCUGAUCCCACCAGGAGCCUGGAGCAGGAACAGCAGCCCAGAGCUUGUUCACCCAGAGGCAGGAGCCUGGCCCGCCUAUCCAGAUUGGCCCUCCCAGGGGCUAGUUCUCUCCAGUUUACAGAAGAGGAAACUGAGACACAGAAAGGCGUUGCUGAGAGUGGAUCUGAAAAGUCCUCAUCACAAGAAAGAAACACGUAUACCUAUGAGUGGUGAUGGAUGUCAACCAGACUUCCUGUGAUGUCCGACAUUCAGAGAAAUGGACACAUUCACGCAUGGCUGCUAGGAGCAGGGCUCUCCCCAAAAAGUGUUCCUCAAGGAAGCAACCUAGAUGCCCAACCAUAAGGGAUCAGUUUAAUAAAUCAAGGAAGAGCCCCCCAGACGGACGAUUAUGAAGCCUUUCAGCACAAGAGGGGAGACUGGUAUUGCUGGGUGUGGGAAGUGGGCCUCCACUGACAAAUCAUGUGUACAGUGUGAUUCCACUUUGGCUAAGAAAAGAAAAGAGAAAUAAAAAAAUCUAGAAUGAAAUAGACCAUCAUGCUAGGAUCAGUGAUUUCUGAGUGUUGAUUUUAUUUUUAAAAUUUCAUGCACUCAACAGAGCUUGAUGGAGGACCCGGCGUGGGCCAGCCGGCCAAGGGCAGGGCCGCUGUCUGAAGGUCACC
RNAcentral lists this long non-coding RNA (757 nucleotides) under Equus asinus (donkey). RNAcentral's name for it is "lncRNA (ENSEASG00005026164.1, ENSEASG00020031638.1)". Lineage: Eukaryota; Metazoa; Chordata; Mammalia; Perissodactyla; Equidae. The record is from RNAcentral.